CCUACGGGAGGCAGCAGUGGGGAAUAUUGCACAAUGGAGGAAAGCCUGAUCCAGCGAUGCCGCGUGAAGGAAGAAGUAUUUAGGUAUGUAAAGCUCUAUCAGCAGGGAGGAAAAUGACGGUACGUGAUUCAGACGCCCAGGCUAACUACGUGCCAGAAGCCGCGGUAAUACGUAGGGAGCAAGCGUUAUCCGGAUUUACUGGGUGUAAAGGGGGCGUAGACGGCAGUAAAAGUCUGGAGUGAAAUGCCGGGGCUUAACCCCGGAACUGCUUUGGAAACUGUGCAGCUAGAGUGCAGGAGAGGUAGGUGGAAUUCCCAGUGUAGCGGUGAAAUGCGUAGAUAUUAGGAGGAACACCAGUGGCGAAGGCGGCUUACUGGACUGUAACUGACGUUGAGGCUCGAAAGCGUGGGGAGCAAACAGGAUUAGAUACCCUAGUAGUC
Molecule: ribosomal RNA, 440 nt
Filed under: uncultured bacterium
Lineage: Bacteria
Description: partial 16S ribosomal RNA
Rfam family: Bacterial small subunit ribosomal RNA
Source: RNAcentral